Molecule: ribosomal RNA, 701 nt
Filed under: uncultured fungus
Lineage: Eukaryota; Fungi
Description: SSU rRNA
Rfam family: Eukaryotic small subunit ribosomal RNA
Source: RNAcentral
AAUAACACCGGACGGUUUUUGGUGAUUCAUAGUAACUUUUCGAAUCGCAUGACUUUACGUCGGCGAUGGUUCAUUCAAAUUUCUGCCCUAUCAAGUUUCGAUGGUAGGAUAGAGGCCUACCAUGCUUUUUACGGGUAACGGCGAAUUAGGGUUCGAUUCCGGAGAGGGAGCCUGAGAAACGGCUACCACAUCUAAGGAAGGCAGCAGGCGCGCAAAUUACCCAAUCCUGAUUCAGGGAGGUAGUGACAAUAAAUAACAAUCCAGGACUUCGGUCUUGGAAUUGGAAUGAGAACAAUUUAAAUCUCUUAUCGAGGAACAAUUGGAGGGCAAGUCUGGUGCCAGCAGCCGCGGUAAUUCCAGCUCCAAUAGCGUAUAUUAAAGUUGUUGCAGUUAAAUAGCUCGUAGUUGAAUCUUGGGGCUGGUUUGGCGGUCGCGUCUUUGACGUGUACUGUCGGCCGGUUCUUUUACUUGUGGGGAACGUAUGUGCCCUUUGCGGGGUGUGUACGGGAACCAUGGCUGUUACUUUGAAAAAAUUAGAGUGUUUAAAGCAGGCAUUCGGUUGAAUACAUUAGCAUGGAAUAAUAGAAUAGGACUUUGGUUCUAUUCAGUAGGUUCUAGGACCGAAGUAAUGAUUAAUAGGGAUAGUUGGGGGCAAUUAGUAUUUAAUUGUCAGAAGUGAAAUUCUUGGGAAUUUAUGAAAG